UAGAUGCGAGAGUAGAGCAUAUCAAUAAGCGGAGGAAAAGAAACUAACAAGGAUUCCCCUAGUAACGGCGAGUGAAGCGGGAAGAGCUCAAAUUUGAAAUCUUCAAGGUUUUACCUUGACGAAUUGUAGUUUAAAGAAGUGUUUUCGGUUAGAGGAGUGGUAAAAGUUCUUUGGAAUAGGACAUCAUAGAGGGUGAGAAUCCCGUAUUUGACCAUUCUUUCUAGCUUUGUGAUACACUUUCAAAGAGUCGGAUUGUUUGGGAAUGCAGUCCAAAAUGGGUGGUAAAUUUCAUCUAAAGCUAAAUAUUGGCGAGAGACCGAUAGCGAACAAGUACCGUGAGGGAAAGAUGAAAAGAACUUUGAAAAGAGAGUUAAACAGUACGUGAAAUUGUCAAAAGGGAAGCGUUUGACACCAGUGUUGUUUUUCCGAAAAUCAAUUACGAAUGUUUUGUUUUUGAGGAGUUAUGACUUCAUCGGCUUGCUCCUUUCUUUAUGGAACUUUCUUAAUGCACUUUUCGGUUAACAAGUCAACAUCAAUUUCUUUUGUUGUAAAAGAGGUAUGAGGAAGGUGGCUUUCUUUUCGGAGAAAGUGUUUAUAGCCUUGUACCUCUGCAAUCGGAGAGAUUGAGGUCUGCAGCGUAGAUCCUUCGGGGUUAGAUACAUUUGUGCUAAGUUAUAGCUUUUCAUAGACAACUUGUUGACUAUGUUAAGUCUUGUAGCUUACUCGCUUAUGCUAUUUUACCUACGCUUAGGAUGUUGACGAGACUGUCGAUCUCAUCUAUACAUGACUCUGUAGCAUAUCAAUAAGCGGAGGAAAAGGUACCUACGCUUAGGAUGUUGACGAGACUGUCGAUCUC
This 856-nucleotide ribosomal RNA is filed under the name uncultured Neocallimastigales. RNAcentral describes it as "partial large subunit ribosomal RNA". It matches the Rfam family "Eukaryotic large subunit ribosomal RNA", at positions 22 to 646 of the family's 3401-position model. Lineage: Eukaryota; Fungi; Neocallimastigomycota; Neocallimastigomycetes; Neocallimastigales. The record is from RNAcentral.